This is a non-coding RNA of Anas platyrhynchos (mallard), 1675 nucleotides long. Lineage: Eukaryota; Metazoa; Chordata; Aves; Anseriformes; Anatidae. The record is from RefSeq and is a predicted model, not a curated record.
CAGCCCCCUGGGGGUGCUGCCUCGCUGCUUCCCUGCCAGCUCCCCCCGAGCCCUCUGCAGCCCUGGCUGGGAGGCUGCGAUGCCUUCGGGCACGGCCCCAGCCCUGGGUGCCCGCCACGGCCCCGUAGGGCUGAGGGACCCCAAACACUCUCCCAGUGCAGUUUCCAGCCCGCCAGCUGCCAGCUCCCACUUCUGCCUGCCCUCUGCCUCUCUCUGCUCCUCCUGCAGACUGUCGGGGUAACCCGGGGUGCUCCCCACCCCACCGCACCUCUCUCGGUGGUGGGACAAACCCCGCACUUUUGGGGAUCAACCCCGCACCUCUCGCACCUGCCGGGGCCGGAGCCCGCCUCCCCUCUGCUCCCAGCCACCCACCGAAACCCCUGCGGGUUUGCGGGAGCGUGGGCGGGGGGCUCUCCUCCUUCCUUCCCCCCUCUCCAUCCCUCCUUCUUCCUUCCUGUCCCUGUGUGCCUGCCCGAACCCCGCUCCCCUCUGUCCCCGACCCCUCUCCUUGUCUCUGCCCGGGGCGACGCUAUCUCACUCUCUGAUUCUUUGCAGAUGGACGUAGUUUACACAUUCCAGACCGGCGCCUCCUCUUUGCAGGGAGCCCUCAGGAGACAGCCUUCCAUUGUGAGCCAGCACCAUGAUGUAAAAAAUGUUUCUAGCCCAACCCAUGUAGCUCUUUCCUCCGUCAAUUCCACUCCCACCACUUCUGCUGUUGCUGCUGCUGCUGCAUCUCCUCCUGCGGGCAAUCAAAGUGGUGAAUGCGUUCCGUAGCUCCUUGUACGAAGGCCUCGAGAAACCCGAGUCCAGAAGCUCCAUCCAUAACUUCAUGACUCACCCGGAGUUCAUCCUGGAGGAAGACGAGCCUCGAACACCAUUCCUUGACAGCGCUGAAGACGACCCCGAGACCGACGGACUCAAAAAGCGAGGUGGGGAUAGCCUGGGUGGAUCGACAGCCCUCAACAGAAAUAACAAUGCAGUGGACAGCGAUCAAACCGAGGUCACCUUCCCGGAGCCCGAAAGCCCCUUACACAGCUUGGAGACAUCGGUUUGACCUUAGAACUUCGACCCCCUCCUCCUCCUCCUCCUCCUCCACCUUCGCCCCGCGCCCUGUGUGAUGUUGGCACCAGUAACUGAUCACACACUGCGGUCACUUCGUGUCAAACUGCUCAUACGUAUAUCAUUUUGGGGGGUUUUGUGUUUUUUUUUUUUUUUUUUUUUUUUUUAAAAAAACGAUUAUUUAGCUGUGGGAACCGGAGUACCACGAUGCUGGGUGUCGGGAGAGGGGCUACGCCAAAAUUUUGUGCAUCUUCAUCCCUGAUUUUUCAGUGGUACUCGCCCAAGUGAAACAGCCAGGUCAUUUUCCUCUCCAGGAGUUGGGCUCCAUGCGUCCGUGAGGGGGGUUUUCACUUUGAGAAAAUGCAUGUUCAAAGAAAAAGUUCAAAUUGUUGUAGUCUUACAUGCACGCUCCCUGCCCGAGGGCUGUGGGCUGCACUUCUGACUUUGAGUUUUUUUUUUCCACUUGUGGUUUUUAAGGUUUUCUUCUAAUGUUGGGGUUUGUUCUUUGCUUGUGGGAUUUGCCCCCAAGGAACUUCACAGCGGGAAGCGGGGGAGUUAGCACUGUAGUGCGACAAGUUGAAAAAAAAAAAAUAAUAAAAAAGCAAACAAACAGCCA